GGAAGCGUGCCUGAGCGGUUUAAAGGGAUGGUCCUGAAAACCAUUAUACCCGAAAGGGUAUCGGAGGUUCGAAUCCUCCCGCUUCCG
Molecule: transfer RNA, 87 nt
Filed under: Candidatus Wolfebacteria bacterium CG1_02_39_135
Lineage: Bacteria; Candidatus Wolfeibacteriota
Also listed under: 5 other names
Description: tRNA-Ser
Rfam family: tRNA
About the family: Transfer RNA (tRNA) molecules are approximately 80 nucleotides in length. Their secondary structure includes four short double-helical elements and three loops (D, anti-codon, and T loops).
Source: RNAcentral